This 305-nucleotide ribosomal RNA is filed under the name uncultured bacterium. RNAcentral describes it as "partial 16S ribosomal RNA". It matches the Rfam family "Bacterial small subunit ribosomal RNA", at positions 505 to 807 of the family's 1533-position model. The record is from RNAcentral.
ACAGCAGUAGCCACGGUAAUACAGAGGGUGCGAGCGUUAAUCGGAUUUACUGGGCGUAAAGCGUGCGUAGGCGGCUAAUUGAGUCGGAUGUGAAAUCCCCGAGCUUAACUUGGGAAUUGCAUUCGAUACUGGUUAGCUAGAGUGUGGGAGAGGAUGGUAGAAUUCCAGGUGUAGCGGUGAAAUGCGUAGAGAUCUGGAGGAAUACCGAUGGCGAAGGCAGCCAUCUGGCCUAACACUGACGCUGAGGUACGAAAGCAUGGGGAGCAAACAGGAUUAGAUACCCCCGUAGUCCCUGUCUCUUAUAC